Molecule: ribosomal RNA, 863 nt
Filed under: Grammatus semis
Lineage: Eukaryota; Fungi; Basidiomycota; Agaricomycetes; Auriculariales; Auriculariaceae
Description: eukaryotic LSU rRNA
Rfam family: Eukaryotic large subunit ribosomal RNA
Source: RNAcentral
CCUAGUAACGGCGAGUGAAGCGGGAAGAGCUCAAAUUUGAAAUCUGGCGGUCUCAGGCCGUCCGAGUUGUAAUCUAGAGAGGUGUUUUCCGUGCCGGACCGUGUACAAGUCCCUUGGAACAGGGCGUCAUAGAGGGUGAGAAUCCCGUCCAUGACACGGACUCCCGGUGCUCUGUGAUACACCUUCAAAGAGUCGAGUUGUUUGGGAAUGCAGCUCAAAAUGGGUGGUAAAUUCCAUCUAAAGCUAAAUAUAGGCGAGAGACCGAUAGCGAACAAGUACCGUGAGGGAAAGAUGAAAAGAACUUUGGAAAGAGAGUUAAACAGUACGUGAAAUUGUUGAAAGGGAAACGCUUGAAGUCAGUCGCGUCUGUCAGGACUCAGCCUUGCUUAUGCUUGGUGCACUUCCUGGUGGAUGGGCCAGCAUCGAUUUUGGUCGGUGGACAAGGGCGGGAAGGAAUGUGGCAGCUUGCUGUGUUAUAGCCUUCCGUCGUACACGCUGACCGGGAUCGAGGACUGCAGCACGCCUUUGGUCGGGGUUCGCCCACGCCACGUGCUUAGGAUGCUGGCGUAAUGGCUUUAAACGACCCGUCUUGAAACACGGACCAAGGAGUCUAACAUGCCUGCGAGUGUUUGGGUGUUAAACCCAGGCGCGUAAUGAAAGUGAAAAGUUGGGACUCUUCAGUGAGGCACCGACGCCCGAUCCUGACGUUCUCUGACGGAUUUGAGGUAGAGCAUGUAUGUUGGGACCCGAAAGAUGGUGAACUAUGCCUGAAUAGGGUGAAGCCAGAGGAAACUCUGGUGGAGGCUCGUAGCGAUUCUGACGUGCAAAUCGAUCGUCAAAUUUGGGUAUAGGGGCGAAAGACU